RNAcentral lists this ribosomal RNA (468 nucleotides) under uncultured bacterium. Its description in RNAcentral is "partial 16S ribosomal RNA". It matches the Rfam family "Bacterial small subunit ribosomal RNA", at positions 28 to 507 of the family's 1533-position model. The record is from RNAcentral.
GACGAACGCUGGCGGCGUGCUUAACACAUGCAAGUCGAACGGAAAGGCCCUGCUUUUGUGGGGUGCUCGAGUGGCGAACGGGUGAGUAACACGUGAGUAACCUGCCCUUGACUUUGGGAUAACUUCAGGAAACUGGGGCUAAUACCGGAUCGGAGCUCCUGCUGCAUGGUGGGGGUUGGAAAGUUUCGGCGGGUGGGGAUGGACUCGCGGCUUAUCAGCUUGUUGGUGGGGUAGUGGCUUACCAAGGCUUUGACGGGUAGCCGGCCUGAGAGGGUGACCGGCCACAUUGGGACUGAGAUACGGCCCAGACUCCUACGGGAGGCAGCAGUGGGGAGCAUUGCACAAUGGGCGGAAGCCUGAUGCAGCAACGCCGCGUGCGGGAUGACGGCCUUCGGGUUGUAAACCGCUUUCGCCUGUGACGAAGCGUGAGUGACGGUAAUGGGUAAAGAAGCACCGGCUAACUACGUG